This 428-nucleotide long non-coding RNA is filed under the name Macaca nemestrina (pig-tailed macaque). RNAcentral describes it as "lncRNA (ENSMNEG00000046180.1)". The record is from RNAcentral. Lineage: Eukaryota; Metazoa; Chordata; Mammalia; Primates; Cercopithecidae.
AUGUCUUUUCUCAAAACUUUUUUAUUUCUUGUAUUAUUUUUAUACCUAGGUAGGAUUUUUCUCACCUUUGGAAAAAAUAAAUCUCUUACCAGAGAUAUGAAAAAUUCAGCUGAAUUUAUUUAUGGCCUUGGUAAAGGUCUUUUCAUGCUCUACAAUGACAAUAUUUUUACAAAACCAACAGUAGAUGAUCUAUCUAGGGAUGCCAGCAAGUGCUCUCAAGAGAAAAUGUAUUCUGUUUCAUCCAGGUUCAGGCUAAAUUGCUGGGACAGCUGCUUUCUUUGACCUCCUCUCGACUUUGCUGACCACAUCACCAACUGGCAGGGUGUGGUGCCUUAAGACCUUCCAAGAGACUUGCUUCCAAAUGGAAAUAAUGGAGUAACAUUUUGUAUGAUCAAACAGAGAAUUCCAGUAAUUUUCAGCAUUUUAAG